RNAcentral lists this ribosomal RNA (501 nucleotides) under Bacillus sp. (in: firmicutes). RNAcentral's name for it is "bacterial SSU rRNA". It matches the Rfam family "Bacterial small subunit ribosomal RNA", at positions 8 to 489 of the family's 1533-position model. The record is from RNAcentral. Lineage: Bacteria; Bacillati; Bacillota; Bacilli; Caryophanales; Bacillaceae.
AGAGUUUGAUCAUGGCUCAGGAUGAACGCUGGCGGCGUGCCUAAUACAUGCAAGUCGAGCGAAUGGAUUAAGAGCUUGCUCUUAUGAAGUUAGCGGCGGACGGGUGAGUAACACGUGGGUAACCUGCCCAUAAGACUGGGAUAACUCCGGGAAACCGGGGCUAAUACCGGAUAACAUUUUGAACCGCAUGGUUCGAAAUUGAAAGGCGGCUUCGGCUGUCACUUAUGGAUGGACCCGCGUCGCAUUAGCUAGUUGGUGAGGUAACGGCUCACCAAGGCAACGAUGCGUAGCCGACCUGAGAGGGUGAUCGGCCACACUGGGACUGAGACACGGCCCAGACUCCUACGGGAGGCAGCAGUAGGGAAUCUUCCGCAAUGGACGAAAGUCUGACGGAGCAACGCCGCGUGAGUGAUGAAGGCUUUCGGGUCGUAAAACUCUGUUGUUAGGGAAGAACAAGUGCUAGUUGAAUAAGCUGGCACCUUGACCGUACCUAACCAGAAA